UGAACAGUUUCGGCGAUAUAACGUCACCC
This 29-nucleotide non-coding RNA is filed under the name Bombyx mori (domestic silkworm). Lineage: Eukaryota; Metazoa; Arthropoda; Insecta; Lepidoptera; Bombycidae. The record is from RNAcentral.